RNAcentral lists this ribosomal RNA (252 nucleotides) under uncultured bacterium. Its description in RNAcentral is "partial 16S ribosomal RNA". It matches the Rfam family "Bacterial small subunit ribosomal RNA", at positions 524 to 776 of the family's 1533-position model. The record is from RNAcentral.
UACGGAGGAUGCGAGCGUUAUCCGGAUUUAUUGGGUUUAAAGGGUGCGUAGGCGGAUCGUUAAGUCAGUGGUCAAAUUGAGGGGCUCAACCCCUUCCCGCCAUUGAAACUGGCGUUCUUGAGUGGAAGAGAAGUAUGCGGAAUGCGUGGUGUAGCGGUGAAAUGCAUAGAUAUCACGCAGAACCCCGAUUGCGAAGGCAGCAUGCCGGCUUCCUACUGACGCUGAAGCACGAAAGCGUGGGGAUCGAACAGG